This 795-nucleotide ribosomal RNA is filed under the name uncultured euryarchaeote. Its description in RNAcentral is "bacterial SSU rRNA". It matches the Rfam family "Archaeal small subunit ribosomal RNA", at positions 83 to 881 of the family's 1478-position model. Lineage: Archaea; Methanobacteriati; Methanobacteriota. The record is from RNAcentral.
UUACGGCUCAGUAACACGUUGAUAAUCUGCCCUAUGGUUCAGGAUAACCUUGGAAAACUGAGGCUAAAACUGGAUGGACAAUUAACACUGGAAUGUGUUUUUGUUGAAAAGCAAUGCCAUAGGAUGAGACAGCGGCUGAUUAGGCAGUUGGCGGGGUAACGGCCCACCAAACCUUAGAUCAGUAGGGGCUUUGAGAGAAGUAGCCUCGAGAAGGACACUGAGAUACUGGUCCUAGCCCCACGGGGUGCAGCAGGCGCGAAAACUUUACAAUGCACGAAAGUGUGAUAAGGGGAUCCCGAGUGCUUAUGUUUUACAUAGGCUUUUGCCAAAGGCAAAUACUUUGGCGAAUAAGUGGUGGGCAAGACCGGUGCCAGCCGCCGCGGUAACACCGGCGCCACAAGUGGCAAUCACUUUUAUUGGGCCUAAAGCGUCCGUAGCUGGUUUUGUAAGUCUGUUGUGAAAUUCUGUCUCUUAAGGGCAGAGAUUGCAAUAGAUACUGCUUAGCUAGAGACCGGUGGACGUAAUGAGUACAUUCGAGGUAGUGGUAAAAUACGUUAAUCUCGAGUGGACUAACAAUUAGCGAAGGCACGUUACGAUGACGGUUCUGACAGUGAGGGAUGAAGGCUAGGGGCGCAAAUUGGAUUAGAUACCCAAGUAGUCCUAGCAGUAAACACUGCGCACUAAACCUUGUGACCUCCUCGAGAGGUUGCAGGGCUGCAGCGAAGGCGAAGAGUGCGCUACCUGGGAAGUAUAGUCGCAAGGCCGAAACUUAAAGGAAUUGGCGGGGGAGCACAA